CCGAUAGGCGUAGUCGAUGGAUAACCGGUUGAUAUUCCGGUACCCGCUGUGAAGCGUCAAACAUCGAACCAGGCGAUGCUAAGUCCGUGAAGCCGCCCUUGAUCUCUUCGGAGUGAGGGGGAGUGGUGGAGCCGACGGACCAGACCUGUAGUAGGUGAGUGAUGGGGUGACGCAGGAAGGUAGUCCAUCCCGGGCGGUGGUUGUCCCGGGGUAAGGGUGUAGGCCGCAAGGUAGGUAAAUCCGCCUUGCAUACGGCUGAGACCUGAUGCCGAGCCGAUUGUGGUGAAGUGGAUGAUCCUAUGCUGUCGAGAAAAGCCUCUAGCGAGUUUCAUGGCGGCCCGUACCCUAAACCAACACUGG
Molecule: ribosomal RNA, 360 nt
Filed under: uncultured Actinomycetes bacterium
Lineage: Bacteria; Bacillati; Actinomycetota; Actinomycetes
Description: bacterial LSU rRNA
Rfam family: Bacterial large subunit ribosomal RNA
Source: RNAcentral